This 24-nucleotide non-coding RNA is filed under the name Mus musculus (house mouse). The record is from RNAcentral. Lineage: Eukaryota; Metazoa; Chordata; Mammalia; Rodentia; Muridae.
CAUUACAGGGCCUAGGAUAUCAAU